Parasteatoda tepidariorum (common house spider) is the source of this 4072-nucleotide RNA transcript. It is a transcript of the gene named mitochondrial glutamate carrier 1, with no coding region annotated. The record is from RefSeq and is a predicted model, not a curated record. NCBI's taxonomy places the organism in Eukaryota, Metazoa, Arthropoda, Arachnida, Araneae, Theridiidae.
AGUUUACAGUUAUAAAAUAAAUAGUCUGUCUGAAUGUUAACUGUAUUGUCCGUCGCAAAUCGUUCUUUUCGUUUUUAUAUUUUGAUACGGCUGCUAGCUAUUUUCUUGUGCUCGCAGUUCUGCUGCCUUCGUUUUCACUGAAAAUAACAAAAUUUAUAUAAAUCUACAGAGAAUUAUUCGAACUAAGAUAUAGUUGUUAGUUUAAAAUAUUUCUUAUUAUCAUUAAUUAUUUUUCCACUUUCUAUUUAAAUCUUGAAUUUCGAACUAAAGCAAUGGUUGGCACUACAGAAUUUCCGUUGAUUCCUAAAAUUAUUAACGGUGGCAUUGCUGGUAUAAUUGGCGUGACAUGUGUUUUCCCCAUUGAUUUAGUGAAAACGAGGCUGCAGAACCAGCAAGUUGGACCACAAGGACAAAAAAUGUAUUCUUCUAUGUUGGACUGUUUCCGUAAAACUUAUUCUAGAGAAGGCUUUGUUGGCAUGUACAGAGGGUCUGCAGUUAAUAUUCUCCUCAUCACUCCUGAAAAAGCCAUAAAACUUGCAGCUAACGAUUUCUUCAGACAUACGUUAUCAUCUGGAUCUGGUAAAUUGCCGUUGCAAAGAGAGAUGCUUGCUGGUGGAUUAGCUGGUUUUUGUCAAAUAAUUGUUACAACUCCCAUGGAACUGUUAAAAAUACAACUUCAAGAUGCGGGGAGAGUUGCUUCUAAAGGUGCAGCUGAAAGUGGAACCGUUGCUGCAACUUCUGCAACCUCCAUUGCCCUGCAACUAAUCAGGACAAGAGGUAUUGCUGGCUUGUACAAAGGAACUGCUGCUACAAUGCUAAGAGAUGUUACUUUUUCAAUGGUAUAUUUCCCUCUGUUUGCACAUCUAAAUGCUCUGGGGCCUCGGAAAAAAGAUGGCAGUGGCGAGGCAGUGUUUUGGACAUCAUUUUUAGCUGGUUGUGGAGCUGGCUCUACAGCAGCCUUUACUGUUAAUCCAUUUGAUGUGAUUAAGACUAGAUUGCAACUACUCAAAAAAGCUAGUGGAGAGAUGACUUACUCAGGGAUUCCAGAUGCAUUUGGAAAAAUUCUCAAAAAUGAAGGACCACAAGCUUUCUUUAAAGGGGCAGGCUGUAGGAUGAUUGUAAUUGCACCUUUAUUUGGAAUCGCACAAACUGUUUAUUAUUUAGGUGUAGCUGAAUAUUUGCUGGGUAAAAAGCGAAGUCAUAUGUACUGAUUUUUGCAUAUUUUCUUGCUCCCCAUCCUUUGCAUGCAGUGAUGAGUCUGAAAACUAAUGAUUUGCAAAAGAGGCAAAGUCACUGGAAUUGUCCCCAUUAUCAAGCGUUUACUGUGAUGCACAUGAUUUAAAGUUUUUAGACCAAGAAAAGGAAGACCUAAAUUAUUUACCAGAUAACAGUUCAUUUAUAGUACAAAAAUAAGUUACAGUGCUGCUAAUAUUAUAUAAAAGCUUGUACAUUUGCAGAAAAUGGUUACUGUGUUCUUGUAUCACUAUUAUCUGUCCACUAUGGCACUUUUUAGCGAGUCCAUAAUGCAUAAUAUUCUUUUAAAAAAACUUUUUGAAUUGAUGUAUUAAUUUAUUUUAUUGCUGUUUUUUAAUAAACGUUACAUUAAAUGUAUUACUUAAAUAUAUCUCUUGAUGGUUAUAUGUUUUAGUAUACAAGAUCUGUUACAAUGUGUUGAUAUUCUUUAUGGUGUGUGUUAAGACAUAAUUAAUAUGGUAUUACUUCUAUCUCAUCAUUUGCAACCUAUGUACUGCCAUCAAUGAAUGAAAUGCCGAUAUUCUAUAGAAGGCCUAGUGACUGGGAUUUUCAGACAAUUUAUGAACUGUAAGAAUUAUAUACCUUGCCUUGUCAUUUUAUGGAAUGCCUGCAGGUUUGUCAUUAGUCAUUAUAUACAAUGAUUAGGCAGUGUGGGAAAUUUCUAAUAAUUUCAUACUUUGUCUUUUUUAGGCACUCUUGAUAAUGAUUAAUCAUUUUAUUGUAUGCCGAAUUUCAUAUAUUGACAGUUAUGUUAUAAUAAAACUAUUUCGGUUCAUGAAAAUUGGUUACAUUAUUAAAACAAAACUGAUUUAAGUUCCUAUGACUCUAAAUGAUGAGUAUGAAGUAAUUCACUAAAAUUUGUAAUCCUCAUCAUUAUUUCCAACUUCUUAAAUUGUAAUAAUUUAAUAUCUAUUUUAAAUUGUUGCAACAGUAAACCUUUUUGUUGAUUUAUUCGAUUCAAAACUUAGAAACAUUGUUUCUAAGAAGCAAAUUGACUUGCGUCUCAUAUGCUGUAAAUUAAACAUAGAAAAGCUUCAGAACAGAAUUUAUAUAUUUAGAUGUCUUUAAAUAUUGUAACUGUGCAUAGUAAAAAUGCAUAAUUUAAUAAUACUAAAAAAUUCAGUACAAGGUACAGAAUUGAAAUUUUAUUCAAAAAUAAUGUUUAAUUCCAAAAUUAUAGUUGUUUUACUCUUUAAUUUGAACUCAUAAAGACAUAGUAUGAUUUUAUAUAUAUUAUUUUUUAAUCUGGAAGUAUGUAAAAUUUGAAUCUGCUUUACCACACCAUUUAUAAGAUUUGAUUAGCAGUCUGUAUGAAUUGUGUAAAUGAUCGAGCUUUUAAUCAUGCAGAGUUAAUCAAAUCAUUGUAUUUAUAUUAUACAGUGCGUUCUUUUAAGAUACAAAGCUGUGUAUGCUGUGAUUAAUGUAAAUUUUAUUUAGAUAUGAGAACAUUUUAAUACUGAGUAUUUCAUUUUUCUGCAUUUAUAAAAUAACCAUUUUACUAAGGUUAAUUUUAUUUUACAUAUUUUUUUACUCCUUUUCAUUUUUAUUGUUCAUUGCAUGUUUAACUUUAUUGAAGGAGUUAAUGUUGACUUUUGUGUUUGCAUUAGUUGAAACAAAUUUUUUUCUUUCUUUUAGUUUUAUUAAAUCUUGUGAAAAUAAGCUUAUCUAGUCUUUCUAUAAAUAUUGAAAUUAUAUUUACAUUGAAAUUUUAUUGAACAUUUUAUGGUGCAUGGAAUUUUAUGAAGGUUUAUUAAAAUUGUCAAUUUAUAUAUGUUACAUUAUGGGGGGAUUUUAUUGCUUUUUGUAUAAUAUAAUUUAUUUCAUAUAUUAAUAUUGUAUUCGAGCAAUCUUUCGUAUGAAAUCUUUUUUUAAAUUAUAGUUAGUGUUAAAUCACUAACUGCAAUAUUAAAAAAAAUUACAGAAUAUUAAUUUAUUGUAGACUGAAUUAAUAAAAAAAUUAAAUAAGUUCAGUACAAUAUUUACUUACAUUUAUUUAAUUUUUUUUGUUAAGUCUUUUGUUGUUGCAGGAAUAAGAUUAAACACUUUAAUGGUACAAAAAUCUACUUCACCUUUUUUAAAAAAAUUUUCUUUCUAUUUUGUUUUAAAGGGCCAUUUAAAUGUUAAUAGACAUAUUUUGGGAGAUGAGCAACUUUUUCACUUCAGUAAGUAAAUAGCUUACUCCUUUCCUUAGAUGUUUGCAUAAUAAUUGAAAGGUCCCUAAUAUCGUUUCAUUUUAACUACACAAUGUUAUUUAAUAACUUGUUUACUAUCAUUGUAAUCUUAUUUAAUAUAAAUGUUUUAACUAUUUUUUAAAAGGGAAAAUAAUAGUUUGAAGAACUAUGAUAUUUAUAAAGUUUAUAUAUGGUUAUUCUUUUUAAUAAUAAAUUUUCAAACUUUAUACGACAGUGAAUGAAAGAAUAAUUUGAAUGCUUGGACAUUCCAUUAGUUAUCUAGCCCUUUUGUGUAUAUGAUUAUUUUGUAAAAAGUUUCAUGAAUUUAUUGAAAUGUGUGAAUUCUAAACAUUAACUGCAGUUUAUUAAAAAUGGUUUUGGUAGAAACAGUGAUAAAGAAGAAACAUGUUAUGAGUAAUUUAAUCAAAAUGUAGAUUUUUAAUAAGCCAUUGUAAAGUUGAGCUGCUACAAUUGACUAUGAUGUGUAGCUAAGUAAAUAAAUAUAUAUGUCUUCACUCGCAAAGGGAGUAAUGAAUGUUUAGCCAUUUUUAAAUGUGAUAAAAUAAAGAGCCAAAAGUGUUCUUAUUGUUAUGUCAAAAUUAUUGUAUAACUGUUUUAAGACUAGUUGAAAUAAAAUUUAAAUCUUA